GCCCUGGUAGCUUAACUGGUAAAGCGCCCAUCCUGCAUUGCACUUUUAAUGGGUGAAUGGAGGUUCGAGUCCUUCCCAGGGUA
Molecule: non-coding RNA, 83 nt
Organism: Jimgerdemannia flammicorona
Lineage: Eukaryota; Fungi; Mucoromycota; Endogonomycetes; Endogonales; Endogonaceae
Source: the annotation of a GenBank genome assembly